AAACAAAAUAAAACGCGUUAUGAGCCAGCUCGAUUCCUUACAUAACCAGUAAUUGCAGGGAAUGAGGCAACGUGAGCAGUGUGCCAUGUCAAAGGCCCUUGAAGGGUAAGGAAGCCUAAUUGAUGCAAGAACUCCAAUCAAUGCAGGAACCCCUCGUUCAAGAGCAAAUUGAACUUGAGCUUCGUGUGUAUCUCUUGGUGCAAAUGACACUGGUAAAAUGUCUCGUGACAGAAGAUAUGCUCCCCAACUUGCAACCUGAAUGGUAUAAACAAAUGGAGAAUUUGUGACAUACAAAAACGAACUUCUUCUGGUAAUUAACCAUGUCAAUAGUAAUAGGCUUAUAAUGUGUUCCAAAUUUUUAACAGAAAACCAUUCCAAUGUGAUUACCAAAAUAAUGUUCGUAAUGGAACAUGUUUCAAAACCAUGAGAAAUAAGCUUGAGGGGUCCAACAAAAUGUCUUCUUCUAAUAAUGAAGUUUGAUGAAGUAAAUUGCAAAUCAGAUGAAGAAAGCAUAAUUGCGAUGGUUGGUUAGGGAUUAACAUCUAACUCCAUAAUCAAGAUUGUCCUUUCCAGAGAUUCUUCAACGAACAACAUAAAUUCCAUUAAUAUUAUCACCAUGAUUAGCACCGAUUGAAUUGAAAAAUAUAUUUAGUAUGUUUGGCCAAUUGCGUAGUACUUUAUU
Molecule: small RNA, 682 nt
Filed under: Vigna angularis var. angularis
Lineage: Eukaryota; Viridiplantae; Streptophyta; Magnoliopsida; Fabales; Fabaceae
Description: Non-protein coding transcript
Source: RNAcentral